UAGUGGCGGAAGGGUUAGUAAUACAUGAGUAACCUACCUCUAACCUGGGGAUAACGGUUGGAAACGGCCGCUAAUACCGAAUGAGGAGACGAGGGGAAUGCUCAUGGCUUCAAAGUAGGGGAUCUUGUCGGGACCUUGCGGUUGUAGAGGGGCUUAUGGGAUAUCAGCUUGUUGGUGUGGUAAAGGCGCACCAAGGCUAAGACGUCUAGGCGGACUGAGAGGUUGGUCGCCAACACUGGGACUGAGACACUGCCCAGACUCCUACGGGAGGCUGCAGUCGAGAAUCAUUCGCAAUGGACGAAAGUCUGACGAUGCGACGCCGUGUGAACGAAGAAGGCCUUCGGGUUGUAAAGUUCUUUCGCCUGGGAACAAGAGAAGGUAGCAAAUAACUGCCUAAUUUGAGGGUACCAGGUAAAGAAGCACCGGCUAACUCCGUGCCAGCAGCUGCGGUAAUACGGAGGGUGCAAGCAUUAAUCGGAUUGAUUGGGCGUAAAGAGCGCGUAGGCGGAUCAGCAAGUCAGAUGUGAAAUUCCGGAACUCAAUUCCGGAGCUGCAUUUGAAACUACUAAUCUUGAGGGUAGACGGAGAAAACGGAAUUCCACGUGUAGCGGUGAAAUGCGUAGAUAUGUGGAAGAACACCGGUGGCGAAGGCGGUUUUCUAGUUUAUUCCUGACGCUGAGGCGCGAGAGCAAGGGGAGCGAACAGGAUUAGAUACCCUGGUAGUCCUGGCCGUAAACGAUGUAUACUUGAUGUAGUUGGACUCAACCCCGACUGUGUCGUAGCUAACGCGAUAAGUAUACCGCCUGAGGAGUACGCUCGCAAGGGUGAAACUCAAAAGAAUUGACGGGGACCCGCACAAGCAGUGGAGCAUGUGGUUUAAUUCGAUGCAACGCGAAGAACCUUACCCAGACUUGACAUGUAGUGGACCGCUCUAGAGAUAGAGUUUCUCGUAAGGGCCUUUAUACAGGUGCUGCAUGGCUGUCGUCAGCUCGUGCCGUGAGGUGUUGGGUUAAGUCCCGCAACGAGCGCAACCCUCGUCGUUAGUUACCAGCAUGUUAUGAUGGGGACUCUAACGAGACUGCCUAGGUUAACUAGGAGGAAGGUGAGGAUGACGUCAAGUCCGCAUGGCCUUUAUGUCUGGGGCUACACACGUGCUACAAUGGUCGGUACAGAAGGUAGCGAAGCCGAGAGGUGGAGCAAAUCCCCAAAACCGAUCUCAGUUCGGAUAGAAGUCUGCAACUCGACUUCUUGAAGUUGGAAUUGCUAGUAAUGACGUGUCAGCAAUAACGUCGUGAAUACGUUCCCGGGCCUUGUACACACCGCCCGUCACAUCACGG
This 1337-nucleotide ribosomal RNA is filed under the name uncultured prokaryote. RNAcentral's name for it is "partial 16S ribosomal RNA". It matches the Rfam family "Bacterial small subunit ribosomal RNA", at positions 93 to 1407 of the family's 1533-position model. The record is from RNAcentral.